This 834-nucleotide ribosomal RNA is filed under the name uncultured Actinomycetes bacterium. Its description in RNAcentral is "bacterial SSU rRNA". It matches the Rfam family "Bacterial small subunit ribosomal RNA", at positions 28 to 869 of the family's 1533-position model. The record is from RNAcentral. Lineage: Bacteria; Bacillati; Actinomycetota; Actinomycetes.
GACGAACGCUGGCGGCGUGCUUAACACAUGCAAGUCGAACGAGGUCCAUCUAGUCGCAAGACUGGUGAAGGCCGAGUGGCGAACGGGUGCGUAACACGUGAGAAACCUGUCCCGGUCUCUGGAAUAACAGUCGGAAACGACUGCUAAUACCGGAUGCCGUCGGAGCGUCGCAUGGCGCGCUGACGAAAGGGCUACCGGAUCGGGAGGGUCUCGCGGCCUAUCAGCUUGUUGGUGAGGUAACGGCACACCAAGGCAUCGACGGGUAGCUGGUCUGAGAGGAUGAUCAGCCACACUGGGACUGAGACACGGCCCAGACUCCUACGGGAGGCAGCAGUGGGGAAUCUUGCACAAUGGGCGAAAGCCUGAUGCAGCAACGCCGCGUGCGGGAUGAAGGCCCUAGGGUUGUAAACCGCUUUCAGCAGGGAAGAAAAUGACGGUACCUGUAGAAGAAGGUGCGGCCAACUACGUGCCAGCAGCCGCGGUGAUACGUAGGCACCAAGCGUUGUCCGGAUUUAUUGGGCGUAAAGAGCUCGUAGGCGGUUCGGUAAGUCGGGUGUGAAAACUCUGGGCUCAACCCAGAGAGGCCACCCGAUACUGCCGUGACUGGAGUGCGGUAGGGGAGUGGGGAAUUCCUGGUGUAGCGGUGAAAUGCGCAGAUAUCAGGAGGAACACCAGUGGCGAAGGCGCCACUCUGGGCCGUAACUGACGCUGAGGAGCGAAAGCGUGGGUAGCAAACAGGAUUAGAUACCCUGGUAGUCCACGCCGUAAACGUUGGGCACUAGGUGUGGGUCUCAACCAACGAGAUCCGCGCCGUCGCUAACGCAUUAAGUGCCC